CAAACUGAAAGAGCAGUUGGCUGCCUCACCAGCCAUCUGUUGCGGCUCCUCAUCUGGGGAGGAGCAGGUUAAUGCUUUGGCUGGUUCCCAGUCACCUCGUCCACAGUGUGUCUACUCCUACCCAGGAUGCGCAUACAGAUGUGUGGGCCCGUCUGUGCCUCAGUCUCUUGCUCCGUUGGACAGAGAUAAUAGAAGCUGAGAGAGAAGCCACUUGUUUGGGGCUCUCAGGUCUGCUGGCCACAGACAGAUGCUAUCCAUCUAUGCCCCUCUCUGGAUCCAUGCUCUCUGGAGAAGGUCUGGGAGGGCGCGGCCACAGUCUCCUCCUUUCGGAGCCCUCCACUACCUUGGGUGUAGGGGGGCUAUUUGUGUUUACUUCCCUGGCUUCUGGGUCCCUUUGUGAGCCUACCCGAUAGCAAUCUCAAAUAAAAUGGAGUGAAG
This 438-nucleotide long non-coding RNA is filed under the name Rattus norvegicus (Norway rat). Its description in RNAcentral is "long non-coding RNA NONRATT030088". Lineage: Eukaryota; Metazoa; Chordata; Mammalia; Rodentia; Muridae. The record is from RNAcentral.